UCAAGGGCCUGUUUCCUUUGCCUCCAUAACUGUUGUAGGUAUUGACGACCAGGCUUCUAAACCUCUUAAAACUCCCCAACUCUGGUGCCAACUUAGACAAUACUCUUCUAAACCUCUUAAAACUCCCCAACUCUGGUGCCAACUUAGACAAUACUCUUUUAAGCACUCCUUUUUAGUUAUCCCCACCUGCCCAGCUCCCUUAUUAGG
This 207-nucleotide long non-coding RNA is filed under the name Homo sapiens (human). RNAcentral describes it as "HSALNT0334861". Lineage: Eukaryota; Metazoa; Chordata; Mammalia; Primates; Hominidae. The record is from RNAcentral.